GAAAUUCGCCUUCAUGAAGCUGGAAUUGCUAGUAAUGGCAGGUCAGCAUACUGCCGUGAAUACGUUCCCGGGCCUUGUACACACCGCCCGUCACACCAUGAGAGUCGGGAACACCCGAAGUCCGUAGCCUAACCAAUCUGGAGGGCGCGGCCGAAGGUGGGUUCGAUAAUUGGGGUGAAGUCGUAACAAGGUAGC
Molecule: ribosomal RNA, 195 nt
Filed under: uncultured bacterium
Lineage: Bacteria
Description: partial 16S ribosomal RNA
Rfam family: Bacterial small subunit ribosomal RNA
Source: RNAcentral